This 403-nucleotide ribosomal RNA is filed under the name Verrucomicrobiota bacterium. Its description in RNAcentral is "Verrucomicrobia bacterium partial 16S ribosomal RNA". It matches the Rfam family "Bacterial small subunit ribosomal RNA", at positions 355 to 776 of the family's 1533-position model. Lineage: Bacteria; Pseudomonadati; Verrucomicrobiota. The record is from RNAcentral.
UGGGGAAUAUUGCACAAUGGGCGCAAGCCUGAUGCAGCAACGCCGCGUGAACGAUGAAGGUCUUCGGAUCGUAAAGUUCUGUUGCAGGGGAAGAUAAUGACGGUACCCUGUGAGGAAGCCCCGGCUAACUACGUGCCAGCAGCCGCGGUAAUACGUAGGGGGCUAGCGUUAUCCGGAUUUACUGGGCGUAAAGGGUGCGUAGGUGGUCUUUCAAGUCGGUGGUUAAAGGCUACGGCUCAACCGUAGUUAGCCUCCGAAACUGCAAGACUUGAGUGCAGGAGAGGAAAGUGGAAUUCCCAGUGUAGCGGUGAAAUGCGUAGAUAUUGGGAGGAACACCAGUAGCGAAGGCGGCUUUCUGGACUGCAACUGACACUGAGGCACGAAAGCGUGGGUAGCAAACAGG